GACGAACGCUGGCGGCGUGCCUAAUACAUGCAAGUCGAACGCAGUGGGGACAGGUGAGUAACACGUGGGUAACCUACCAUCAGAGGGGAUAACACUUCGAAAAAGGUGCUAAACCGAUACUGAUAGAUGAACCCGCGGUCCAUUAGCUAGUUGGUGCGGUAACGGCUCACCAAGGCCACGAUGCAUAGACGACCUGAGAGGGUGAUCGGCCACACUGGGACUGAGACACGGCCCAGACUCCUACGGGAGGCAGCAGUAGGGAAUCUUCGGCAAUGGACGAAAGUCUGACCGAGCAACGCCGCGUGAGUGAUGAAGGUCUUCGGAUCGUAAAUCUCUGUUGUUAGAGAAGCGGUAUCUAAACAGUAAGCAACGGCUAACUACGUGCCAGCCGCCGCGGUAAUAC
RNAcentral lists this ribosomal RNA (403 nucleotides) under uncultured bacterium. RNAcentral describes it as "partial 16S ribosomal RNA". It matches the Rfam family "Bacterial small subunit ribosomal RNA", at positions 28 to 526 of the family's 1533-position model. The record is from RNAcentral.